GCAAGGAACAAGUGGCACGCUCCAGCGACUAUCUCGAUGGUCAGCUGAGCUUUCGCCAGCGCCUGAUCCAGCGCCAUCACCUGUUGUUCUGCCCCAAUUGCCGGCGCUUCCUGCGGCAGAUGCGCCUGAUGCAGGCCACCUUGCGCAAGAUGCCGGAAGGACCUGUCGCCGAUAUCGAUGCGCUGGCCGACCGCCUGGCCGCCGAGCGCAAGCGCAACGCCUGAUUCACCCGACAAU
RNAcentral lists this small RNA (237 nucleotides) under Pseudomonas chlororaphis. Its description in RNAcentral is "Pseudomonas sRNA P17". It matches the Rfam family "Pseudomonas sRNA P17", at positions 1 to 250 of the family's 282-position model. The record is from RNAcentral. Lineage: Bacteria; Pseudomonadati; Pseudomonadota; Gammaproteobacteria; Pseudomonadales; Pseudomonadaceae.